RNA transcript from Papaver somniferum (opium poppy), 1743 nucleotides. It is a transcript of the gene named proline-rich receptor-like protein kinase PERK12, with no coding region annotated. Lineage: Eukaryota; Viridiplantae; Streptophyta; Magnoliopsida; Ranunculales; Papaveraceae. The record is from RefSeq and is a predicted model, not a curated record. The transcript is spliced from 5 exons.
CUUCCCGGAAACACAAAUCGACCCAAUCUCUUCUCCAUUAAAAUCAUCUCUGAUUACCUCCGUUUUCGAACAGAGAAGAUAGAUUGAUUGAUUCACAUAAACCCUGAACAAUUUAUAGAUACGAAUCAAAACCCUAGAAAAAAAUUUACUCAGAAAUCAAAACCCUUAACGUCUUGGAAUUCUCCAAAUUAGGGUUCUUGAAGAGAUGAUGAUGAUUAGGGUUUUCUGUGAAUCCCAGAGAAGAAAAUUGAAGUAAUCUGGGGUGAUCUUGAAAGUAAAGAAGAAGAAUUCAAAAAUGGGUGUUGAUAUUUGAGUUGACUGAGAGUCUGCUGGAAAAUGCAGGUGAGCGAUUUCAGUAUUGCUCAAAGAUGUAACUCGUCGUGGUCAAUCUCUUUCUUCUUCUUCUUAUGAAUCUUAUAUAUUCGUGGAUAAAUGAUUCCAAUUGCUUGAUGGAACCCAAUGGAGGUCCAGAAGCAAUCAGAUAACUCAAUUUCACAUGGAUGGAAUUGAACUAUUAUGGAAACGUGCGGAGGAUGACGAUGCUGAUAAGCUUCUACUCGCAGCAUCAGAAAAUGGGUGUCUGCAAACUGGGGAUGUCACAAUGGAUAAUACGGAGCUAGGGAUGUGAUCUGCACCCUAAAGUCGCUGGAGGAGUAGAUUGGGUACUAAUGAAGUUGUUGAGAUAUUUGAUUAUCUGUUUGUAGAUUUUGGUCUUGCUAAGAUAUCAAAUGACAUCACCACCCAUGUUUGAACUCGUGUAAUGGGAACAUUUGGGCAGGUACAUGGCACCUGAGUAUGCUUCAAGUGGCCAAUUGACUGAUAGAUCCGAUGUGUUCUCGUUCGGAGGGGUGCUUCUAGAGCUUGUGACUGGACGUAGACCUGUCGAGGCGAGCCAGGAUGAGAGUUUAGUAGAAUGGGUAAGCAUAUGUAUAUAUUUCAGGAACCUUUGACCUGCUGUUACUUUUUUCCUAGAAAUACUUCUGCGCCUUGAAUAAGAUGAACUUUUGUCUUGGCGGAUGUUUUCUGCUGGCCAGACCAUUGAUAGCCAGUGCAACCGAAACUGGAGUUUUUUCAGAGUUGGCAGAUCCAAGGAUUGAAAAGAGAUACGUCGAGAGAAAGAUGUUUAGGAUUGCUGAGACAACUGCUGCUUGUGUUCAUCACUCUGCUAACAAAAGACCCCUCAUGGUGCAGGUAUUAAGGGCGUUGGACACUGACGGUGACAUGCCAAAUAUCAACAAUGGCGAGAAAGUUGGUCAGAGCACUAUUUUUGAAGCAAAUUCAGAUCUUCAAAAAUUUCAAAUGUUGGCGCUGGGUGGCAAUGGUACUGCAGACUAUAGCAUGUAUAGUGGAAGUAUGAACUAUAGAGCAGAGAUUUUACCCCUGAAACCUCCACCAGGUUGGAGUGGCGAAUCAGAAACUCGUGCCAUUAACCUACACAAAUGUUGAACAGUGACAUCCAAAUACACUUUAAUGUUUUUGCAAUAACUUUAACUUGGUGUCGUUUCAUGUAGUGGUGUCGUUUCGUCAAGUUCUUCUGUCGGCCCUCCCACCGUGGCAACGGUUAUACUAGUUUAUAGGAGGAUGAGACACCUGCAUACGUAUUUAUUUAUAAACCGGUCAGGUAAUCUUUGUUGAGUUUCAUUUUGAAAUUAGAUAAAAGGGAACAUUUAUGUGAACCUUGAUGCUAUUGACAUUGUUUCAUUGAGUGAUUAUUGUAGACUAUGACUACCGUCAUUCUGUGUU